AUUAUGCUUUCAGUUUGAAUAGAAAUCUUAUACAGUACAGUUUGUCGAUCUAAAAUGGUAAUUGUGCAUUAACAGCUGUCAACCAUGAUCCGCCUUUGAAUAUGCGCACAGAAUGGCUAGCAGAUGCAUCGCUAGAAGACACAGAGAGAGAAAGCCCUAUAAAAGGUUCCCUGUUAAAGGGAGGCUUGUUGCUACUCCAGAUUCUCAGACUGACUAUUACAUCCAGAUGCUGAAACCCAUCAUAACAAUGGGGGAUUGUGGGCCACCAUACUGACAUUGCCUGGUGUGCUAAGGUUCUCUUCCUGGCGGAUGAAUGAAGCUUUAGGGGUGUCAAACUCAGUUCCUGGAGGGCCACAGCCUUGCAGAAUUUAGUUCAGAGUUGGCUAAUGUCGGUCCUGAGAGUUCAGCUCCAACCAUAAUCAAACGCACUGAAAAAGCAAUCUCAACAAUGGACUCGUUUCCUUCCUGUUUGGUGUCUCCUGUGCUUGCUGUUUCUGUUUGGAGGUCAUUGCAUGUGUCUGAUUGAGCAACUGUCACUGUGCAUUUCUGUUUGCAGUGCUUUGCUUAAAUCUUGGACCUUUAGCAAUAAUAAAAGUCUUUGGAGUUUUCCAUUUG
Onychostoma macrolepis is the source of this 615-nucleotide long non-coding RNA. RefSeq lists it as uncharacterized. The record is from RefSeq and is a predicted model, not a curated record. The transcript has 5 exons. NCBI's taxonomy places the organism in Eukaryota, Metazoa, Chordata, Actinopteri, Cypriniformes, Cyprinidae.